GAUGAACGCUGGCGGCGUGCCUAAUACAUGCAAGUCGAGCGAAUGGAUUAAGAGCUUGCUCUUAUGAAGUUAGCGGCGGACGGGUGAGUAACACGUGGGUAACCUGCCCAUAAGACUGGGAUAACUCCGGGAAACCGGGGCUAAUACCGGAUAACAUUUUGAACCGCAUGGUUCGAAAUUGAAAGGCGGCUUCGGCUGUCACUUAUGGAUGGACCCGCGUCGCAUUAGCUAGUUGGUGAGGUAACGGCUCACCAAGGCAACGAUGCGUAGCCGACCUGAGAGGGUGAUCGGCCACACUGGGACUGAGACACGGCCCAGACUCCUACGGGAGGCAGCAGUGAGGAAUUUUGGACAAUGGGGGCAACCCUGAUCCAGCGACGCCGCGUGGAGGACGAAGGUCUUCGGAUUGUAAACUCCUUUUAUCUGGGAUUAAGAAAUCUAUGGAAACAUAGAGAGUGGAUGUACCAGAGGAAUAAGCCACGGCUAACUUCGUGCCAGCAGCCGCAGUAA
RNAcentral lists this ribosomal RNA (510 nucleotides) under uncultured bacterium. RNAcentral describes it as "partial 16S ribosomal RNA". It matches the Rfam family "Bacterial small subunit ribosomal RNA", at positions 28 to 523 of the family's 1533-position model. The record is from RNAcentral.